RNAcentral lists this ribosomal RNA (1353 nucleotides) under uncultured bacterium. RNAcentral describes it as "bacterial SSU rRNA". It matches the Rfam family "Bacterial small subunit ribosomal RNA", at positions 28 to 1381 of the family's 1533-position model. The record is from RNAcentral.
AUUGAACGCUGGCGGCAUGCCUUACACAUGCAAGUCGAACGGCAGCACGGAGCUUGCUCUGGUGGCGAGUGGCGAACGGGUGAGUAAUAUAUCGGAACGUACCCUGGAGUGGGGGAUAACGUAGCGAAAGUUACGCUAAUACCGCAUACGAUCUAAGGAUGAAAGUGGGGGAUCGCAAGACCUCAUGCUCGUGGAGCGGCCGAUAUCUGAUUAGCUAGUUGGUAGGGUAAAAGCCUACCAAGGCAUCGAUCAGUAGCUGGUCUGAGAGGACGACCAGCCACACUGGAACUGAGACACGGUCCAGACUCCUACGGGAGGCAGCAGUGGGGAAUUUUGGACAAUGGGCGAAAGCCUGAUCCAGCAAUGCCGCGUGAGUGAAGAAGGCCUUCGGGUUGUAAAGCUCUUUUGUCAGGGAAGAAACGGUGAAGGCUAAUAUCCUUUGCUAAUGACGGUACCUGAAGAAUAAGCACCGGCUAACUACGUGCCAGCAGCCGCGGUAAUACGUAGGGUGCAAGCGUUAAUCGGAAUUACUGGGCGUAAAGCGUGCGCAGGCGGUUUUGUAAGUCUGAUGUGAAAUCCCCGGGCUCAACCUGGGAAUUGCAUUGGAGACUGCAAGGCUAGAAUCUGGCAGAGGGGGGUAGAAUUCCACGUGUAGCAGUGAAAUGCGUAGAUAUGUGGAGGAAUACCGAUGGCGAAGGCAGCCCCCUGGGUCAAGAUUGACGCUCAUGCACGAAAGCGUGGGGAGCAAACAGGAUUAGAUACCCUGGUAGUCCACGCCCUAAACGAUGUCUACUAGUUGUCGGGUCUUAAUUGACUUGGUAACGCAGCUAACGCGUGAAGUAGACCGCCUGGGGAGUACGGUCGCAAGAUUAAAACUCAAAGGAAUUGACGGGGACCCGCACAAGCGGUGGAUGAUGUGGAUUAAUUCGAUGCAACGCGAAAAACCUUACCUACCCUUGACAUGGCUGGAAUCCCCGAGAGAUUGGGGAGUGCUCGAAAGAGAACCAGUACACAGGUGCUGCAUGGCUGUCGUCAGCUCGUGUCGUGAGAUGUUGGGUUAAGUCCCGCAACGAGCGCAACCCUUGUCAUUAGUUGCUACGAAAGGGCACUCUAAUGAGACUGCCGGUGACAAACCGGAGGAAGGUGGGGAUGACGUCAAGUCCUCAUGGCCCUUAUGGGUAGGGCUUCACACGUCAUACAAUGGUACAUACAGAGCGCCGCCAACCCGCGAGGGGGAGCUAAUCGCAGAAAGUCUACUGGUAGUCCGGAUUGUAGUCUGCAACUCGACUGCAUGAAGUUGGAAUCGCUAGUAAUCGCGGAUCAGCAUGUCGCGGUGAAUACGUUACCGGGUCU